AUUGCGGUUAAUUGGAUUAUGACGUAGUUGUACUGAUCAGAGAUUUUAACACGAAGUGAGUGGCGAACGCAGUGAGUAACACGUGGGUAACCUGCCCAGAAGUAGGGGAUAACACCUGGAAACAGAUGCUAAUACCGUAUAACAGAGAAAACCGCAUGGUUUUCUUUUAAAAGAUGGCUCUGCUAUCACUUCUGGAUGGACCCGCGGCGUAUUAGCUAGUUGGUGAGGUAAAGGCUCACCAAGGCAGUGAUACGUAGCCGACCUGAGAGGGUAAUCGGCCACAUUGGGACUGAGACACGGCCCAGACUCCUACGGGAGGCAGCAGUAGGGAAUCUUCCACAAUGGACGCAAGUCUGAUGGAGCAACGCCGCGUGAGUGAAGAAGGGUUUCGGCUCGUAAAGCUCUGUUGUUAAAGAAGAACGUGGGUAAGAGUAACUGUUUACCCAGUGACGGUAUUUAACCAGAAAGCCACGGCUAACUACGUGCCAGCAGCCGCGGUAAUACGUAGGUGGCAAGCGUUAUCCGGAUUUAUUGGGCGUAAAGCGAGCGCAGGCGGUCUUUUAAGUCUAAUGUGAAAGCCUUCGGCUCAACCGAAGAAGUGCAUUGGAAACUGGGAGACUUGAGUGCAGAAGAGGACAGUGGAACUCCAUGUGUAGCGGUGAAAUGCGUAGAUAUAUGGAAGAACACCAGUGGCGAAAGCGGCUGUCUGGUCUGCAACUGACGCUGAGCUCGAAAGCAUGGGUAGCGAACAGGAUUAGAUACCCUGGUAGUCCAUGCCGUAACGAUGAUUACUAAGUGUUGGGAGGGUUUCCGCCCUUUCAGUGCUGCAGGCUAACGCAUUAAAGUUAAUCCCGCCUGGGAGUACGACGGCAGAUGAACUCAAAGAUGAACGGGGUCCCGCCAACCAAGAGCG
RNAcentral lists this ribosomal RNA (913 nucleotides) under Pediococcus pentosaceus. RNAcentral describes it as "bacterial SSU rRNA". It matches the Rfam family "Bacterial small subunit ribosomal RNA", at positions 36 to 937 of the family's 1533-position model. The record is from RNAcentral. Lineage: Bacteria; Bacillati; Bacillota; Bacilli; Lactobacillales; Lactobacillaceae.